UACGUAGGGGUCGAGCGUUGUCCGGACUUACUGGGCGUAAAGCGUGGGUAGGUGGUCUGGGAUGUGCCGUGUGAAAGCCCCGCGUUCAUCGCGGGGAGGUCGCGGUAGACACUCGGACUGGAGGCAUGGAGAGGGCAGUGGAAUUCCCGGUGUAGUGGUGAAAUGCGUAGAUAUCGGGAGGAACACCAGUGGCGCAAGCGGCUGCCUGGCCAUGACCUGACACUGAGCCACGACGGCGUGGGGAGCAAACGGG
RNAcentral lists this ribosomal RNA (253 nucleotides) under uncultured bacterium. RNAcentral's name for it is "partial 16S ribosomal RNA". It matches the Rfam family "Bacterial small subunit ribosomal RNA", at positions 524 to 776 of the family's 1533-position model. The record is from RNAcentral.